AUUCCAGCUCCAAUAGCGUAUAUUAAAGUCGUUGCGGUUAAAAAGCUCGUAGUUGGAUUUCUGCCGAGGAUGACCGGUCCGCCCUGUGGGUGUGCAUCUGGCUCAGCCUUGGCAUCUUCCUGAAGAACGUAGCUGCACUUGACUGUGUGGUGCGGUAUUUGGGACAUUUACUUUGAGGAAAUUAGAGUGUUUACGGCAGGCAAUCGCCUUGAAAAUGUUGGCAUGGAAUAAUAACAUAAGACUUUUUGUCUAUUUUGUUGGUUCCUAGACGGGAAGUAAUGAUUGAUAGGGAUAUUUGGGGGCAUUCGUAUUAUGCGGUCAGAGGUGGAAUUCUUGGAUUCGCAUACGACGAACUACUGCGAAAGCAUUUGCCAAGGAUGUUUUCAUUG
This 389-nucleotide ribosomal RNA is filed under the name Biecheleria sp. RNAcentral's name for it is "partial small subunit ribosomal RNA". It matches the Rfam family "Eukaryotic small subunit ribosomal RNA", at positions 582 to 975 of the family's 1831-position model. The record is from RNAcentral. Lineage: Eukaryota; Dinophyceae; Suessiales; Biecheleriaceae.